GGCAGAGGGGGCAAGCGUUGCUCGGAAUUACUGGGCGUAAAGGGCGCGUAGGCGGGAUGGCAAGUCGGUCGUGAAAUCCCUCGGCUCAACCGAGGAACGUCGAUCGAUACUGCUGUUCUUGAGGAUUGCAGAGGAGACUGGAAUUCCCGGUGUAGCGGUGAAAUGUGUAGAGAUCGGGAGGAACACCGGUGGCGAAGGCGGGUCUCUGGGCAAUUCCUGACGCUGAGGCGCGAAAGCGUGGGGAGCAAACGGG
Molecule: ribosomal RNA, 253 nt
Filed under: uncultured bacterium
Lineage: Bacteria
Description: partial 16S ribosomal RNA
Rfam family: Bacterial small subunit ribosomal RNA
Source: RNAcentral